CCGAGUUUACAACUCCCAAACCCCUGUGAACAUACCUUAAUGUUGCCUCGGCGGAUCAGCCCGCGCCCCGUAAAACGGGACGGCCCGCCAGAGGACCCAAACUCUAAUGUUUCUUAUUGUAACUUCUGAGUAAAACAAACAAAUAAAUCAAAACUUUCAACAACGGAUCUCUUGGUUCUGGCAUCGAUGAAGAACGCAGCAAAAUGCGAUAAGUAAUGUGAAUUGCAGAAUUCAGUGAAUCAUCGAAUCUUUGAACGCACAUUGCGCCCGCUGGUAUUCCGGCGGGCAUGCCUGUUCGAGCGUCAUUUCAACCCUCAAGCCCCCGGGUUUGGUGUUGGGGAUCGGCUCUGCCCUUCUGGGCGGUGCCGCCCCCGAAAUACAUUGGCGGUCUCGCUGCAGCCUCCAUUGCGUAGUAGCUAACACCUCGCAACUGGAACGCGGCGCGGCCAUGCCGUAAAACCCCAACUUCUGAAUGUUGACCUCGGAUCAGGUAGGAAUACCCGCUGAACUU
This 511-nucleotide ribosomal RNA is filed under the name fungal sp. CSF11. RNAcentral describes it as "eukaryotic LSU rRNA". The stretch from base 152 to 305 matches the Rfam family "5.8S ribosomal RNA". Lineage: Eukaryota; Fungi. The record is from RNAcentral.